Molecule: ribosomal RNA, 207 nt
Filed under: uncultured bacterium
Lineage: Bacteria
Description: partial 16S ribosomal RNA
Rfam family: Bacterial small subunit ribosomal RNA
Source: RNAcentral
GGCGUAGGCGGCCUAUCAAGUCCGAUGUGAAAUCUCCCGGCUUAACUGGGAGGGUGCAUCAGAAACUGAUAAGCUAGAGUGCAGCAGAGGAAAGUGGAAUUCCCGGUGUAGUGGUAAAAUGCGUAGAUAUCGGGAGGAACACUAGUGGCGAAGGCGGCUUUCUGGGCUGCAACUGACGCUGAGGUCCGAAGGCGCGGGGAGCAAACA